This 433-nucleotide ribosomal RNA is filed under the name uncultured bacterium. RNAcentral's name for it is "partial 16S ribosomal RNA". It matches the Rfam family "Bacterial small subunit ribosomal RNA", at positions 29 to 507 of the family's 1533-position model. The record is from RNAcentral.
AACGAACGCUGGCGGCAGGCUUAACACAUGCAAGUCGAACGCACCUUUCGGGGUGAGUGGCCGACGGGUGAGUAACGCGUGGGAAUCUUCCCUUCUCUACGGGAUAGCUCCGGGAAACUGGAAUUAAUACCGUAUACGUCCUGAGGGAGAAAGAUUUAUCGGGGAAGGAUGAGCCCGCGUUGGAUUAGCUAGUUGGUGGGGUAAAGGCCUACCAAGGCGACGAUCCAUAGCUGGUCUAAGAGGAUGAUCAGCCACAUUGGGACUGAGACACGGCCCAAACUCCUACGGGAGGCAGCAGUGGGGAAUAUUGGACAAUGGGCGCAAGCCUGAUCCAGCCAUGCCGCGUGAGUGAUGAAGGCCCUAGGGUUGUAAAGCUCUUUCAGUGGGGACGAUAAUGACGGUACCCACAGAAGAAGCCCCGGCUAACUUCGUG